GACGAACGCUGGCGGCGUGCUUAACACAUGCAAGUCGAACGGUAAGGCCCUUCGGGGUACACGAGUGGCGAACGGGUGAGUAACACGUGGGUGAUCUGCCCUGCACUUCGGGAUAAGACUGGGAAACUGGGUCUAAUACCGGAUAGGACCACUGCCUGCAUGGGUGGUGGUGGAAAGCUUUGGCGGUGUGGGAUGGGCCCGCGGCCUAUGAGCUUGUUGGUGGGGGGAUGGCCAACCAAGGGGAAGACGGGUAGCGGGCCUGAGGGGGUGACCGGCCACACUGGGACUGAGAUACGGCCCAGACUCCGACGGGAGGCAGCAGUGGGGAUUAUUGCACAAUGGGCGCAAGCCUGAUGCAGCGACGCCGCGUGGGGGAUGACGGCCUUCGGGUUGUAAACCUCUUUCAGCACCGACGAAGCGCAAGUGACGGUAGGUGCAGAAGAAGGACCGGCCAACUACGUGCCAGCCGCCGCGGUAA
RNAcentral lists this ribosomal RNA (478 nucleotides) under uncultured bacterium. RNAcentral describes it as "partial 16S ribosomal RNA". It matches the Rfam family "Bacterial small subunit ribosomal RNA", at positions 28 to 523 of the family's 1533-position model. The record is from RNAcentral.